This 189-nucleotide ribosomal RNA is filed under the name uncultured bacterium. RNAcentral's name for it is "partial 16S ribosomal RNA". It matches the Rfam family "Bacterial small subunit ribosomal RNA", at positions 338 to 524 of the family's 1533-position model. The record is from RNAcentral.
CCUACGGGAGGCAGCAGUGAGGAAUAUUGGUCAAUGGGCGCAAGCCUGAACCAGCCAUGCCGCGUGCAGGAAGACGGUCCUAUGGAUUGUAAACUGCUUUUAUACAGGAAGAAACACCUCCACGUGUGGAGGCUUGACGGUACUGUAGGAAUAAGGAUCGGCUAACUCCGUGCCAGCAGCCGCGGUAAU